CAUCCAUCGAUGCACUGAACUCCUCUCCUCUUCUCCGUCUGAAACCCAAUAGGCCAUGCUGACAUGUUGACGUCCUUCUUCUGUCCGUCACCAGUUGUUCCUGCUGUGGUUGCUGUUUGUUGCUGCUAGUCUUGUAUCUGUUGUUGUUGUUGUUGUUGUUGUUGCUGUUCUGCUUCUCUGUGCCCCCCCCCCAGCAGCGAACAGCAGCUAACAGCAGCACUGGCCUGCUGGAGGAAAUCUGUCCAUCUGCAACUGUCCGCAGGAGAAAGAGCUGCUGGCAGGCACAAAAACAACAGAAAUCCUCCUUGCCAGGGCUGUGCAGACACCUUUAGAGGGGCAGGUGCUCAAAAUUAAAAAGGGGCACAUGGAGCAAGACUUUUAAAAACCAUACACCGACAUCACUUACAGCAUAACCUGUUGAAUUAUAGCAACCCUUAUUCAAACAGAAUAUAACAUGGAAUCUUACAACAAAUCGCAUCAUAUUAUAUCAUUGUUCCCCACCUGAUGUAAUGGGAGUGGGGGACAAUGACAGUGAUUAUGACUAUGAUUCUCUCUCUAUUGUGUCCAUGUGUGUUCUGUUGGCAGAAAUAUGUUCUUUAAGUAAACAAGCCAGACUUAAUUUUAGAAUCAA
Long non-coding RNA from Thunnus maccoyii (southern bluefin tuna), 631 nucleotides. RefSeq lists it as uncharacterized. The record is from RefSeq and is a predicted model, not a curated record. The transcript is spliced from 2 exons. Lineage: Eukaryota; Metazoa; Chordata; Actinopteri; Scombriformes; Scombridae.